Molecule: ribosomal RNA, 334 nt
Filed under: uncultured eukaryote
Lineage: Eukaryota
Description: partial 18S ribosomal RNA
Rfam family: Eukaryotic small subunit ribosomal RNA
Source: RNAcentral
CCCUUAGAUGUCCGGGGCCGCACGCGCGCUACACUGAAGGAAUCAGCGUGGCUUUCUCCCUGACCCGAAAGGGUUGGGAAACCCGUUGAAUCUCCUUCGUGAUAGGGAUUGGGGCUUGAAAUUGUUCCCCAUGAACGAGAAAUUCCCAGUAAGCGCGAGUCAUAAGCUCGCGUUGAUUACGUCCCUGCCCUUUGUACACACCGCCCGUCGCUACUACCGAUUGAACGGUUUAGUGAGGGCCUCGGAUUGGUCUCGGCCCGCUCUUUACCGGGCGGCGCCGUUGGUCGAGAAGACGCUCGAACUUGAUCGUUUAGAGGAAGUAAAAGUCGUAACA